CACAGCUAUGCACCAAUCCUCCUGGGUUCAGAGAUGGAACUUGGGUUAAAUGCAUGGAAUUUAUUCUUAGUCCUUUUCUUAAUUACGACUUUUUAUUUCUCUGGUGUUCUCUAGGGGAGGGGUUAGAGAAGAGAGGAAAAGGAAGAAAGAAAGGGGGCAGGGAAAUAUAGAUUCAAUGCUUUUGUUUUGUUUCUGGGCUGCUUGCUAUCAGCAAAGUAGAGAGAUUUAACGGAUCUUGCCGAGAAUGCAAGCCUCAUUCCAAGGAAGCCAGAGCUCAGAAGACAUGGAACAAAUACAAUGAAAACAUAACUUGAGGUCGGAAAAUGUCCCCUGAAUAUUUAUGUCAAUGUCCUACCUUAGUGAAUAUUACUUAAUACUGUGGCUCCUUUAAAGCAUGUAAGUAGCUUGCAUUUAGCACAUUUGUACCAUGAAGAUACUGAGGCUGCCAUCAUGCUCUGUUAUUCUAAGAGAAAGAUCAACAGCAACAACAACAAUAAUAAUUUAAAAAGCAGAGGAAGAAAGUAAUCCAAGAAGACAGACGCAGAGCCUCUAAGAUCAUGAAGGAUGAUUAAAAGAACAAGUUGGGGAUGAAAAUGGGGAAUCAGAAAGCUUAUCAUCAGGUUAGUUUUGGAAGGUCAUCUGUGGCCUGGGCGGUGCCCCAUUAAGACUAGAUCAAAAGCAGGACAGUGAUGCAAUCGGCUGUUUGUAUACAGAUGCUGGCCUCCAAAUCCCCACAUGGGAACAUCUGCUGGGGACAACCACUUAACAAAUAAGCAGGCAAUUAGGUAGCAGAUCCAUCUGUGCCAAGAGCAUGGGACCACCAGCGGCGGGGAGGCUGCAGCAGAGGGGAGAGCCAUGCUGGGAAGAAUGCUUUUGCGUUUGUGCAAGAGUCACACUAUCUAAGGCAGGAGAAAGGAGAGAGGACCAGGUGCAGAAGUCAGGAGAGAAGAUCAUUUUCUGCUUGUUCUGGGGCUAGCUCCAUGAUGCUCAGCCUUGACUAUACAUUAUAAUCACCUGGAGAUUUUAAAUAUACUGAUGCCCAGGUUGUACUUCAAAACAAUCUAAUCAGAGUUUCUAGGAAGGGG
This 1085-nucleotide long non-coding RNA is filed under the name Homo sapiens (human). RNAcentral describes it as "HSALNT0154471". Lineage: Eukaryota; Metazoa; Chordata; Mammalia; Primates; Hominidae. The record is from RNAcentral.